RNAcentral lists this long non-coding RNA (585 nucleotides) under Mus musculus (house mouse). RNAcentral describes it as "long non-coding RNA chr14:21088733-21089318". Lineage: Eukaryota; Metazoa; Chordata; Mammalia; Rodentia; Muridae. The record is from RNAcentral.
GGAAAGAGGGGCAGAGAUUCGGGCCCCUGCCCUCAAUCUGUCUUCAGGAUCCUGGAGAGAGAUUAAAGUUUAAAUAGCCGGCCAGGAAUGUACACAUCUGUGGUAACAAUCAAGGUGUCUGCUCUUCCGCUCUCACCCUGGAAGGUGGUCUGACAAGCUGGUGGAGCUGUGUGAAAUCUUUCCUGGAGACAAAUCCUUUCUUUAUCUAGCUCCUUCCCUUCUCCCAGCAUGAGAUUCCUGGAGAAAUUCCCAUUUCUUUGGAGUUCAUUGUUUCAAUAGUGUGAGUCAGAUUGAGAGACAUUAGUGUCCCUUUAGAAUACCUUUAUCUCUGCCAGUCUUGUGCAGCUGAAGAAGGCCUAUCACUCCUUAUCCCCCUGCCUCUGUCUCUCAAGAGUAGCAGUAGGCUUAUAGGUGUGGGUAGUCGUUUAUCCAUUUCUAAAAAUAACUAUCAUUGCUAGGCAUGGUGGUAUACACCUUUAAUCCCAGCACUCCAGAGGUAGAGGCAGAGAACAUCUCUGUGUUUGAGCCCAGUCUGGUUUACAUAGUGAGUUCUAGGUCAGCCAGAGCUACAGAGAAACCCUGUCU